AUCAUGUCAAUCUGCCUUAUUAAGUCGAUUUCAAAAUUCAUUAUUUAUAUCACCAAUACCUAUUUUUCUCUCGCUAGCUUUGAAGUUUUUUAGCCACAUUUUCCAAUUUGUUAAAUCUGUAUUAAAUGUAGAGAUUAGAGUAGGUCUCGGUCCGCUUGUUUUUCUCAAGAUUCUCAGCAGUGGGCAGAGCAAGCAACAUUAUAUCAUUUAAAAAAUUCAUCCAUUAUUCGCAAAAAGACUACUAAUAUGUAAUGACAAUGUAAAUAUGUAUGACUAAUAAUAUGUAACAAGGAGGAAAAUAAACUUGCAGUCGAAAUA
Long non-coding RNA from Anthonomus grandis grandis, 318 nucleotides. RefSeq lists it as uncharacterized. The transcript has 2 exons. The record is from RefSeq and is a predicted model, not a curated record. NCBI's taxonomy places the organism in Eukaryota, Metazoa, Arthropoda, Insecta, Coleoptera, Curculionidae.